UACAGAGGGGGCAAGCGUUGUUCGGAAUUACUGGGCGUAAAGGGCGCGUAGGCGGCCGCCUAAGUCAGACGUGAAAUCCCUCGGCUCAACCGGGGAACUGCGUCUGAUACUGGGUGGCUUGAGGGAGACAGAGGUAAGCGGAACUGAUGGUGGAGCGGUGAAAUGCGUUGAUAUCAUCAGGAACACCAGUGGCGAAAGCGGCUUACUGGGUCUCUUCUGACGCUGAGAUACGAAAGCUAGGGGAGCGAACGGG
Molecule: ribosomal RNA, 253 nt
Filed under: uncultured bacterium
Lineage: Bacteria
Description: partial 16S ribosomal RNA
Rfam family: Bacterial small subunit ribosomal RNA
Source: RNAcentral